Molecule: ribosomal RNA, 466 nt
Filed under: uncultured bacterium
Lineage: Bacteria
Description: bacterial SSU rRNA
Rfam family: Bacterial small subunit ribosomal RNA
Source: RNAcentral
AUCCCAGACUCCUACGGGAGGCAGCAGUGAGGAAUAUUGGUCAAUGGUCGGGAGACUGAACCAGCCAAGCCGCGUGAGGGAUGAAGGUACAGAGUAUCGUAAACCUCUUUUGUCAGGGAACAAAGGCGGGGACGUGUCCCCGGAUGAGGGUACCUGAAGAAAAAGCAUCGGCUAACUCCGUGCCAGCAGCCGCGGUAAUACGGAGGAUGCGAGCGUUAUCCGGAUUUAUUGGGUUUAAAGGGUGCGCAGGCGCCUUGUUAGGUCAGGGGUAAAGGCCGGGGGCUAACCCCCGGCGAGCCGUUGAAACUGGCGGGCUGGAGUUGGAGAGAAGUACGCGGAAUGCGCGGUGUAGCGGUGAAAUGCUUAGAUAUCGCGCAGAACCCCGAUUGCGAAGGCAGCGUACCGGCUCCACACUGACGCUGAGGCACGAAAGCGUAGGUAUCGAACAGGAUUAGAUACCCUUGUA